GAUGAACGCUGGCGGCGUGCCUAAUACAUGCAAGUCGAGCGAACGGACGAGAAGCUUGCUUCUCUGAUGUUAGCGGCGGACGGGUGAGUAACACGUGGAUAACCUACCUAUAAGACUGGGAUAACUUCGGGAAACCGGAGCUAAUACCGGAUAAUAUUUUGAACCGCAUGGUUCAAAAGUAAAAGACGGUCUUGCUGUCACUUAUAGAUGGAUCCGCGCUGCAUUAGCUAGUUGGUAAGGUAACGGCUUACCAAGGCAACGAUGCAUAGCCGACCUGAGAGGGUGAUCGGCCACACUGGAACUGAGACACGGUCCAGACUCCUACGGGAGGCAGCAGUAGGGAAUCUUCCGCAAUGGGCGAAAGCCUGACGGAGCAACGCCGCGUGAGUGAUGAAGGUCUUCGGAUCGUAAAACUCUGUUAUUAGGGAAGAACAUAUGUGUAAGUAACUGUGCACAUCUUGACGGUACCUACUCAGAAAGCCACGGCUAACUACGUG
This 497-nucleotide ribosomal RNA is filed under the name uncultured bacterium. RNAcentral's name for it is "partial 16S ribosomal RNA". It matches the Rfam family "Bacterial small subunit ribosomal RNA", at positions 28 to 507 of the family's 1533-position model. The record is from RNAcentral.